This 606-nucleotide long non-coding RNA is filed under the name Homo sapiens (human). Its description in RNAcentral is "non-protein coding lnc-FAM25C-2:1". The record is from RNAcentral. Lineage: Eukaryota; Metazoa; Chordata; Mammalia; Primates; Hominidae.
CCACUUCAUAUUCUUCUCACCCAGCACACUCCUUGAAAAAUAGUUAUUGUUUGAUAAACAAUUUGAUUGAUGAAUGAAGGAAAAACUAAAAAGAGGGAUUUUCUUUAAGCUAAGGAAAAUAUCAGGCCAUAGUCAGACAGCAUCUGCCAUGCACCCGUGGAUGCCUGCUACAGGGUGUGGAACCAAGGGACCGAGCAUUUUCUUGCAGUUGUGCGUCAGUGGAGGGUUGUGGAUGAUCAGUGUAUUAAAGUCUGUGUUUGCUUCCUUCAGCAAAAAAAGUUCACCAUCACAAGCAGUGUCACUGGGAAGAAGCACACAUUUGUCACAGAUUCAGCCAAGACCAGUAAAUACUUACUGGACCUCUGCUCAGCCCAGCAUGGGUUUAAUGCACAGAUGGGCUCUGGGCAGCCUUCCCAUGUUUUAUUUGAACACAGUCACAUGGCCCCCAAGACAACUGCAAGACGGGUUGGAAAGGGAGGACUUCCUGUGUGCCCAGGAAGAGGAAGUAGUGUAACGAUACACCAUGGUCCUUGCCAUAACGGCUGCAGCCGUCUGCUGUAUCACUCUUAAUUGAGAGUUUGGUAUUAAACUCAUAGCAGGACCAGA